RNAcentral lists this long non-coding RNA (702 nucleotides) under Homo sapiens (human). Its description in RNAcentral is "non-protein coding lnc-ZHX1-2:1". The record is from RNAcentral. Lineage: Eukaryota; Metazoa; Chordata; Mammalia; Primates; Hominidae.
GGGCGCGAGAUGGAUUCCGGGUGCUGGUUGUUCGGCGGCGAGUUCGAGGACUCGGUGUUCGAGGAGAGGCCGGAGCGGCGGUCAGGACCGCCCGCGUCCUACUGCGCCAAGCUCUGCGAGCCGCAGUGGUUUUAUGAAGAAACAGAAAGCAGUGAUGAUGUUGAAGUGCUGACUCUCAAGAAAUUCAAAGGAGACCUGGCCUACAGACGACAAGAGUAUCAGGUAGAAUUCAACAUAUGGUGCUUGAAGUGGGCUCUUGUUUUAUCAGUUAUGGCAUAUGUAAAUAACAGUGUACCAAGUUAGUGUGGUGUUUAUGAAGAUGAGUUUAAUCUUUUGUGAUGUGUGUUUAUAAUCUGAGGCUCCCAAGUUUCCGUUCUUUUCUGCUUGGCUCUGUAUGAUUUGUUUGUUUUCUGUAACUCCAACAAAAGGAUCUCUUUGGGGUCCUUGUCCUUGUAGGUUUAUUCCUCAAGGUUCUGAAUCUCCUCAUUACUUAGGACCCUCUAGCACAGACAUUUCACAGUGCCACAGGAGCAAAUCACCCCAAAAUGUAUAAGAAAAAGAACUAACAACUAGAUGUUAGAUUGCGUUACAUAUGUAUCUCAUUUCAUCUGCAUGAGAAUCCUGUUUUUAUUUUGCUGAUGAAAAGGUUAUAAAGUAAGUUAGUGGCAAUACCAGAAUUCAAAGCCUAGUAUAUUUGGUCCC